GGCCGGUCCGCGGGCGGCAGGUGCGGUCCUUCGGGACUGUGAGCGGAGAACACCGGACCCGCGGACCGCCCUGAUCGCGGCGGUCACUGUCAUAAUGACAGACGCUGUCCGACGAGCGUGACGUGACAGGUGACAGUGAUUGGGGAAAGGGAUUUAUAUGGGAAAAUUUAACAGUGACAGUGACAGUGGCAAGGAUUUAUACGGAUAAAUGUGAACUGUGACAGCGACAGUGGCAAGGAUUUGUAUCCAAAUAGUGAGCGGCAGUAGUGACAGUGUGUGAUAGCCAUGCAGUCUGGUGGUAGUGUUCGCCAUCCCUGACUGCCGUCGCUCAUCACCCACCUGUAAAUGUCAGUAGUCGUCUGAACUCCCCAGCUCACCGACCGGUCCCCAUUGGCUUGGGGACGCCCGAGCAGCGCAGCAGACGCCAACAGAAGGCCACCAACAGGAGAGCAGCAACCUGUAGCGCGUGCCGCGUGGUGCGGGCGUCGGUUGGCCACCGCCACGCUGACCCGAUCCGUACAUACAGAUAGUCCUGGGCACAGCUCUCAGACGUGACACAGGGUCUUUGUAUAACUUUGCUUCUUUUUCAUUUUAUUAGGUAUAUGCAUUUUUAACCAGUGAUGGAAUUGUUCGUGAGGAAGAUGGGCUAAAAUGCCGCGAGAAGAACUGAGACUGUGCUGCCUCUAUUGUAGCUCUUGCAUUGCGUAGAUAGAAGUCUAGUCACAUGACCUGAUUUGAGCCAGCCUCGCUUGCCGAAAAGCUGGCCUCUCGUCACCUCACCUCAGACGUCACAUGACCCCAUUCACCAUAUUUGUGCUCCACCUUUGUGCUAAUUCACAUUGAUGUCUAAUAAAGGCCUUGCAACAA
This is a long non-coding RNA of Amphibalanus amphitrite, 867 nucleotides long. RefSeq lists it as uncharacterized. NCBI's taxonomy places the organism in Eukaryota, Metazoa, Arthropoda, Thecostraca, Balanomorpha, Balanidae. The transcript has 2 exons. The record is from RefSeq and is a predicted model, not a curated record.